RNAcentral lists this ribosomal RNA (1097 nucleotides) under human gut metagenome. Its description in RNAcentral is "bacterial LSU rRNA". It matches the Rfam family "Bacterial large subunit ribosomal RNA", at positions 1326 to 2406 of the family's 2925-position model. The record is from RNAcentral.
AAACCCGUUCGCCGGAAGACCAAGGGUUCCUGUCCAACGUUAAUCGGGGCAGGGUGAGUCGACCCCUAAGGCGAGGCCGAAAGGCGUAGUCGAUGGGAAACAGGUUAAUAUUCCUGUACUUGGUGUUACUGCGAAGGGGGGACGGAGAAGGCUAUGUUGGCCGGGCGACGGUUGUCCCGGUUUAAGCGUGUAGGCUGGUUUUCCAGGCAAAUCCGGAAAACCAAGGCUGAGGCGUGAUGACGAAGCACUACGGUGCUGAAGCGACAAAUGCCCUGCUUCCAGGAAAAGCCUCUAAGCAUCAGGUAACAUCAAAUCGUACCCCAAACCGACACAGGUGGUCAGGUAGAGAAUACCAAGGCGCUUGAGAGAACUCGGGUGAAGGAACUAGGCAAAAUGGUGCCGUAACUUCGGGAGAAGGCACGCUGAUAUGUAGGUGAAGCGACUUGCUCGUGGAGCUGAAAUCAGUCGAAGAUACCAGCUGGCUGCAACUGUUUAUUAAAAACACAGCACUGUGCAAACACGAAAGUGGACGUAUACGGUGUGACGCCUGCCCGGUGCCGGAAGGUUAAUUGAUGGGGUUAGCGGUAACGCGAAGCUCUUGAUCGAAGCCCCGGUAAACGGCGGCCGUAACUAUAACGGUCCUAAGGUAGCGAAAUUCCUUGUCGGGUAAGUUCCGACCUGCACGAAUGGCGUAAUGAUGGCCAGGCUGUCUCCACCCGAGACUCAGUGAAAUUGAACUCGCUGUGAAGAUGCAGUGUACCCGCGGCAAGACGGAAAGACCCCGUGAACCUUUACUAUAGCUUGACACUGAACAUUAAGCCUUGAUGUGUAGGAUAGGUGGGAGGCUUUGAAGUGUGGACGCCAGUCUGCAUGGAGCCGACCUUGAAAUACCACCCUUUAAUGUUUGAUGUUCUAACGUUGGCCCGUAAUCCGGGUUGCGGACAGUGUCUGGUGGGUAGUUUGACUGGGGCGGUCUCCUCCUAAAGAGUAACGGAGGAGCACGAAGGUUGGCUAAUCCUGGUCGGACAUCAGGAGGUUAGUGCAAUGGCAUAAGCCAGCUUGACUGCGAGCGUGACGGCGCGAGCAGGUGCGAAAGC